RNAcentral lists this ribosomal RNA (253 nucleotides) under uncultured bacterium. Its description in RNAcentral is "partial 16S ribosomal RNA". It matches the Rfam family "Bacterial small subunit ribosomal RNA", at positions 524 to 776 of the family's 1533-position model. The record is from RNAcentral.
UACAGAGGGUGCAAGCGUUAAUCGGAAUAACUGGGCGUAAAGGGCGAGUAGGCGGAAUGAUAAGUGAGGUGGUAAAGACAUGGGCUUAACCUGUGGGUGACACCUUAGACUGUGAUUCUAGAGAUCAGGAGAGGGGAGUGGAAUUUCCGGAGGAGCGGUAAAAUGCGUAGAUUUCGGAAGGAACACCGGUGGCGAAGGCGACUUUCUGGCCUGGAUCUGACGCUGAGGCGCGAAGGCGUGGGGAGCAAACAGG